RNAcentral lists this transfer-messenger RNA (397 nucleotides) under chicken gut metagenome. It matches the Rfam family "transfer-messenger RNA". Rfam says of the family: Bacterial tmRNA, also known as 10Sa RNA or SsrA, is named for its dual tRNA and mRNA-like properties. The record is from RNAcentral.
GGGGGCGAUUUAGUUUCGACAGAGCAUAAUUUAUGAAAUGUAAAGCAUGUGGCGGUUCGUCCUUACGCCUUAAACAAGAACAAGCGUAAAUAAACGCAGACGAAAAUAAUAAUGUUGUUUCAAUGAAUGCUAUGCCUUGCGCUGCUUAGUUGAAAUAACGCCUGAUUAGAGCAUUAUCUAAUUCGCUUACUUUUUAUCUUGCCAAUAAAAUUUUAAGUGUCAGUUUAGGCAAAAAUUUUAUGCUAAGUUCUUCCUUGUAUGCAUAAAAAAUUUUUAAGGAAUUGCUUUAAAAACCUGUUUGUGGGUGACUUUAAAGUGAAACUUAAUCACAAAAUAAACAUGUAGAAAAGUUUUGUAAAUAUGUUUUGGACUCGGGAGCAUAACCCGACGCCUCCAC